CAUACUUCCUUACAUGCCCAUACUAUAUCAUAAAUGGAUAUGGAAUGUAAAGAAGUAUGUA
RNAcentral lists this microRNA precursor (61 nucleotides) under Caenorhabditis elegans. Its description in RNAcentral is "Cel-Mir-1_pre stem-loop". It matches the Rfam family "mir-1 microRNA precursor family", at positions 11 to 69 of the family's 79-position model. From Rfam's summary of the family: This family represents the microRNA (miRNA) mir-1 family. miRNAs are transcribed as ~70nt precursors (modelled here) and subsequently processed by the Dicer enzyme to give a ~22nt product. In this case the mature sequence comes from the 3' arm of the precursor. The extents of the hairpin precursors are not generally known and are estimated based on hairpin prediction. Lineage: Eukaryota; Metazoa; Nematoda; Chromadorea; Rhabditida; Rhabditidae. The record is from RNAcentral.